RNAcentral lists this transfer RNA (69 nucleotides) under Chrysiptera biocellata (twinspot damselfish). Its description in RNAcentral is "tRNA-Ser". The record is from RNAcentral. Lineage: Eukaryota; Metazoa; Chordata; Actinopteri; Pomacentridae.
GAGAGAGGCUCGCCAGCAACAAAGACUGCUAAUCUUUCGUCCCCUUGGUUGAACCCCAAGGCUCACUCG